UGUGCCGGCCCCGCCCCGCUCCGCCCGCGCCCGUAAAUGCCGGCGGAUCCGCGCCCGCUCCGCUUUGUGCGGUGAACGCUCAUCCUGCUCAUCCCGGGCUGCGGCGGGACCGUCGUUCGGGGCGCUGUGCGGAGCCCGGCACCGGGGGCUGCUCCCGGCGCUGCGCCGAGCCCGAGGCGCUGAGAGCACAGGACAUCCUGAGUGGGAAUGGAUACACAAAGACCACCAAGUCGCACCCUUAUGUGAAUGGCUCCUCUGGCGAUUGAACCCACACCUGGGCACUCUCAGCACCCUGCUCCAGCCAAGCCAAUCUCAGCUCCUGGCAAUAUCCUGCCUGGGAUAGGAAUGCCAAGUGCCAGCAAGGUCAUUCCUAUGCAAAUACAGCUCCUUCUUUUAUGCUAAUGCUGCUUUCCACACCAGCCCCUGCAAUGGCCCCAGGGCAGAGCUCCAUGGCCAGCAUCUGAUCAUGCAACAACACAGGUGAGCAGUUGUGUGACAGCACUGAACUCUUCCCAUAACCUGAUUUCCUGCCCUUUCCAGGAUUUACCCAAUAGCUGUAAAGGUGCUCGUUCCAUGGCCCUUUCCAGGGAGAAAUGAGCAAGGCAAGUCCUGAGGGUUUACUUGGUCCACAGCCAAAGCUCUUCUGGAGAGGGUCAGGGCUGCUCCUGCCUGCAGAGGGGCCUUUCCCACAGGUGCCCUGGGGAUGCCAGGGAGGUGCCUUUGCCCACAGUGCCUUUCUCCUGCCCCUCUCCAGCCCGAGGCCUCUUCUCCCUUCCCUGCCAGCUGCUGCCAAAGAAGGAGGACACAUUCCCCACUGAGAAGAACACAACCUCACAGCUGUUAAGGCCUGACAGUUCCCUGCAGGGAGAGCUCAGCACAUGUGCCCAGAGGCAAUCCCAGCACCUGAAAGAAAGAAAGAAGCAGCAAAAGGUGAUUGCUUCUCUUUCAAAGUUAUUUCAAGUGCUCACACCCAAACCCACCUUUGCUCUUGAUUCUGGCCGGGUGCAUGGUGAGCAGUAGGCACAGGUCAUGUCAUCCAUGCUGGUGUGAGUGAUGCUUUCUGGGGGAAAGCAGCUGAUCUCCAAAGUUCCCUUCCUGCCCUGUGCCUGAUCUGCACAGGAGAAAACCUCUUCCAGGAAGGGAUUGUGCUCCCUCUAAUCCCAUUUGCCCAGUCUGUGCCAUGGGGAUAUUGCCAGCCUGGGGCAGCAGAGGCACACGCAGCUCUCAGCACUCUCUGCUCCAAGCACAGCUCUGGGCUCCUUUGCAGACUGCCUCUGCUGUGGGGUUUUCUCCAGGAGAAGCCAAGGAAUUGCUCAUGGAAGGGUGGAGAUUAAGUUAUCCCAAAGGGAAGCAAAGAGUUAAGUACUCCAGGAAGAGCCCUUGGCAUCUGCUGGGCUGAGGUGGGAAGGGGACAUUCAUUCCCUGCAGAGCCAAUACACAACAACCUCCAACCCAAAGCACAGACUGGCAGGUGGGGUCUGACAGCACCACUCUGACAAACCUCCUUGUCAUUCUUCCCUGCAGUGACUUUUGCAAGCAAACUCUGAAGCUGACAAGCCCAGAAGCUCCAUCCAUCCACUCUGGAAGGAAAGGAUACUCCCAGGGAUGAGGCACAUUCCCAGCAAACUCUCCCAACCCAGCCUGGAGGCAGCGCUGGAGCUCGGCUGUGGGGCUGGGAAGGGCUGCCAGGAGCACGCAGCCCCCAGGUGGGGUGGCAGCGGCAGCAGCAAAUUCCCACAGGCUGAUGGCACAACAGAGAGACAAAGGCCAGCAGUGCCCAUGGGAGGUGCAGGGUUAAUUCUGCUCCCUGCCCUGCCCCAUCCCCGCAGGAAAUCUCCAAGGGGGAGAGAAACUCUCAGGGUGCCCAAAAUGCAGCAUCUGUCACCCUGAUCCCGCUUCAACUCAGCGUGGGGGGCCAAACUCCCCCCACAGGUAAACACUGAGCUGACCUGGUCAGUCUCAAACACAGCCCCAGUUCUCACCUCCAGCCUGCUCCUGGGGCUGCUGCCACAUUCCUGACAAGGAGCCCCUGUGGACAGGGCUCUCUCUGUGUCUCAGGUGCUGGGCACUGCAGGGACCAGGGCAGCCCCCUCUGGGGACAAUUGGGGAUUCAUCCCACACCACAGGCAGGACCAGGGGCCCUCCAGUACAGGCUGGUGGGGCCAGAGCCCAUUGGGUUUGGCUGCUCAAAUACCAAAGCUUUUGGCAAAGAUGGGACAAGUUAAGUGGGUUUUCCUGUCCUGAGAGAGAGAAGAAAUUGUUGAAAUUAAGCAUGGAAAUUAAGUCCACUGUGGAAGUCAAAGGCUCCUGGCUUUCCCACUCCUGUUCUGAUUGCUCACUAGAGGGUUUUAUCCAUAAAAAAAUAAGAGGUGGCACCAAAUAAAAGAGCUCUUUUUCAACAUUUCUCCCCUACUUACUUUCAUACCUAAAAAGGAUGUCCAUUUUUUCUUAGUGCAUUCUUUGCCUAAUUUUAACAGAACCGUUUUUCCUUCCAGGCCCCACUUGUGGGUUAUUUGCUCCUUUGCCAUUGGACUUUGGACAAAGGAAGAAAAGGAUCUGCUCCACAUGGGUGUCAUCCUAUGGGGAACACCCCCUGUACCAGCCCCAGCCUGGGCCAAGCACGCUGCCUCACUUUCCCCAUUCUGGAUGCUGGCUCCAAUCCAGUCUGAGUUUUCUCCUGGUUUCCAUGUCUAAGGACAGGAACUUGUCCUGGUCAGGAUGUAAGGCCUUAAACUGCACCUUGAUCUGGGGGGCUGUGACUGGGAUUCCAGCAGGGAAUUCAUUGUUUUACAAAUAAAAAUUAUUCCAGGGA
Long non-coding RNA from Corvus hawaiiensis (hawaiian crow), 2812 nucleotides. RefSeq lists it as uncharacterized. The transcript has 4 exons. Lineage: Eukaryota; Metazoa; Chordata; Aves; Passeriformes; Corvidae. The record is from RefSeq and is a predicted model, not a curated record.